Pyrus x bretschneideri (Chinese white pear) is the source of this 1287-nucleotide long non-coding RNA. RefSeq lists it as uncharacterized. The transcript has 5 exons. Lineage: Eukaryota; Viridiplantae; Streptophyta; Magnoliopsida; Rosales; Rosaceae. The record is from RefSeq and is a predicted model, not a curated record.
GAAGUUGAAAGUUUACCAAACACAAAAAACUCCUAUCUUUUUUUGACACCCAUUUUUUUCAAAAAUACCUCAGAACCAAACUAGUACUUUGUCUCAACGAAAAUGCUUAUAUGCUUUAUAAUUCUGAUUGCAUUGAAUACUGGAAACUUCAGUUCUAGUGUAGUGAAAUAUUUGCUGUGCUCAAGGUUUGUAUUCUACUACCGGAGCCGUGGUUUCUGUUUUUGUUUCAACAAAUCUGUAAAGGUUUGCCAGAUGCGUCCAUUCUUAAACAGUUUCGGAACCCUUGCGUGCAACAGCUCUGUAUUUCACGGGUUUUUGUAGGAAAACAGUGGCGGAGAAACAAAACAUGUGAGAGCGAGGAAGGAGGACUUAUUGCUUUUGAUGAGAGGGUCCGAUUCCAUAGCUCACUUCGCCUCAGCUCUCCAACACUUUGGAUAAUGCUCUUCAGGGUACGAACAUGUAUUGAGUACAAACGCUUACAAAUGACCCAUGUGGUGUAUGAGACCGAUCAGACGGUGUAGAACACCGCUCAGUGUGCCAUGAUGAUGGGAGCCAUCGAUCUAGCUAAGCCACCCAUAUUGACAGAGAUAUUCCAGAGCCACCUGAGCAACUCGGAGACAGAGUAAAGAGAAGGAAUCGGAAGAACAGCAGAAUGCAGAAAAUUCCGGUGUAAGAUUGAAGAGGAAAUUCGACAACAGUCAUUGCUCAGAUGUGCAAGGAGCAAGGACCGAAUGGCGGGAAGCUGAAGAAAGCAAAAAAUCUUGCAAUUUCAAUGGCAACAAAAGCAGCUUUGUUUGCCCAGGAACUCAAGUCGAUAAGAUCGGAUUUAUGCUUUAUGCAGGUGCGCUGUGCUCUGCUGGAGGAGGAGAAUCGAAGGCUCCGAGAUGGGCAGUAUAAAGGGUUGAGGCCUAACGAAGAUGAUCUGGUGAGGCUUCAGUUGGAGGCACUGCUGCUAGCUGAGAAGUCAAGGCAAGCAAAUGAAAAUUCGAACCUGGUUAGGGAAAAUCAAUGCCUCCACCAGGUUGCGGAGUAUCACCAGCUCACCUGCUUCAUUUGAACAAGUUGUACAAUGGUUGCGCCUAGACUUUCCGUCUCCACCACGCGGACAGCAGACGAGGGAAAUGGUGAAGAUGGCGAUGCUGCUGCUGAAAAUGAAGUUUCUCAGACAUCAAGAAGUAAUCUUUUCGGCUUCUCUGCCUCGCUUGAUGAUGAGUGUUCUCAUGGAGAUGACUAGCGGAGUGUUCUCAUGGAAAAUUUCAAAUGGUGGCAAUCAAAUACUUUUAUGCU